ACAGUGCACCCAGCUGGGCGCUUCGGCAGUUUGCAGCUGCGGCGGGGUCGGGUCCACCCGCGGUCCCCGGAAUGCCGGACGGCUGAUCCCGGGUGCUGGUCACUCGCCGAUUCGGGGCUGGGAAGGUUUGCCAGAAGCGGGAAAGAUGGGAGAUCUGAGCGCUCUCUUGGCAUCGCCACACCCAGGACUUGCUCGUGCCGCAAUUCCCCACGGAAACAACCGAGUUGAAACGAGAAGCUUGCUCUCUGGGUGCAGUAGCUAGAAGGCUUCAGAUUAUUGUGGCUGUCACUCAGGUUUUCUGCUCAUUGGUAGACAAAGGGUGAGGAGGUGACUGAAAUUGGAACAGUGGAAGGACCCUUCACCAAAACCUGGAACUUCAGAAGAAUGGCAGGGCUGAAAAUGAUUAGUGUUAAUUCAUUCCAGUUGUGUUACCCUACCCAUAAGACUGCCUGAAGGAGCCUGAACUUCCACGUGCUGUCUUCCAUAUAAUGUGAUCUGAGGUGAAGAGCAUGGUCCCUGGAGUUGAACUGCCUGAAGUAAAUCCCAAAAUAGAAAAAUAAAAAUAAAACAGUGGUUUUAUUGUUUU
RNAcentral lists this long non-coding RNA (586 nucleotides) under Homo sapiens (human). RNAcentral describes it as "non-protein coding lnc-TMEM212-1:11". The record is from RNAcentral. Lineage: Eukaryota; Metazoa; Chordata; Mammalia; Primates; Hominidae.